Nomascus leucogenys (northern white-cheeked gibbon) is the source of this 207-nucleotide long non-coding RNA. RefSeq lists it as uncharacterized. The record is from RefSeq and is a predicted model, not a curated record. The transcript has 3 exons. Lineage: Eukaryota; Metazoa; Chordata; Mammalia; Primates; Hylobatidae.
AGAGAACGUUGCAUGAUGGUCCACUUAGUGGCUAAGAGUUGAAUGGAGCUGAUAUAAACAAUAGGCCACCAAGUGACUAGUUGGUCACCUGAAGGAAGAAUACCAAUAAGAAAAAUAUCUUGAACUUGUUCUCCUGACUGGCUGAAAUUUUAUAUUCUUUGCCCAACAUCUCCUCAAUCCUCAGCCCUCUCCAUGCUAGUUCCUGAU